CUUAUCCACGCCGAAGGAUGAACGUGCUCAGGGCAGCAAACAACUCGCCGGAGCACGGAGCGCGAAAGGCAUCGUACGCGCAAGGCUUCAUGCUGCUGCGCGAAGCGGAUGUAUGGCGUUGCUUCCUUGUACUUAAACAUAUACAUCUUUGAGUUGUAUGAGUCCCGUAAAUGGUCAUGCCACUUUAAAACAUACGUUCCCAUUAGACCUCAUCAAUAGAUCAUCUAAUAAACGACGGCGCUGUAUUGAAAGCGGUUCAUGGUAGACCUCAAAACUGGUUAGCACUUGAUAAAAAGUUCUACACAAGGACACUUCUGGGAACUACUCGUCGAAGCAUCGGGAGCUCGUCCGACGUUUGAUGUCAUGAUUAUCUAAAAUAAUAGAUUUACCGGAAGCCGAACAACUAUUUCACUAACUAAUACGAGCUGGAAUAGGAAAAAACGUAAAUCCGGAACUGAUUUUUAGCUACUCAAAACGACGCCACUUGUCGACUUGUUAUUGUUCAAUAAAACGCAUGCAAACCAAAUA
Anopheles coluzzii is the source of this 528-nucleotide long non-coding RNA. RefSeq lists it as uncharacterized. NCBI's taxonomy places the organism in Eukaryota, Metazoa, Arthropoda, Insecta, Diptera, Culicidae. The record is from RefSeq and is a predicted model, not a curated record. The transcript is spliced from 4 exons.